GAGCACAGCUGGCACACAAACAGCUGCUGGCCACCGUGCGCCCCCUACCACCACGGGACGCACAUUCAUCGAACAGUCUCCACUCGCAGCACGAUGGCACCAGUCGACGAUGAAGAUCGCGGCAUGCGCAGCGAAACGUCGGACGUCGUGCCGAACCCGGAAAAAAAAACAGGCCUGAGCGUGGAUACAAGUCGGGCUUCGUUUGUAUACCAGGCCACCAGCGCGGAUGUGAUUAAAGAAUUUGGUAGACCAAUUCGUCAACACGGGUGGAAGAAGCAUUGAGUGAAGUUCACGGAAGACCGGAAGAAACACGUGCAGAGCAGUUCGGAGAACUUACACACUUCAUACAGAAAGACGCCACCAUUCGGUAAUCAAACUCAUUGUACCCCUUCCUGCUGUGAGCCACAGGUGUUACAACUACACCACCCGACUUGCCCCCCCUCCCCCCGCGCACUUCUCCCACACCUCCGAUUAGCACGGUUGGCUACGUACGGUAUGAAAGAAGUUCAACAUAUGUACAGUGCAUACAAUGAGCGUGUGUUUAAACUCUCCCUUCGUCUCUGUCCACCCAGCAGAAUAAGUGAGUCGACCAUCGGUAAGCAGGUAUCUGGCGGGGGGGGGGGGGCGGGUAAAGCGUGGAUACUUACAACGUUUUCAGGAUGCCUGGCGGGCGUGCGAAAGUGGGAGACAAGGCAAUUGUAUAGGGAGCUGUGAAGAGCUCCGCAUGUAUGUAUGUAUGUUGAACUUCUUUCGCACCAUACGUCGCCGACCGCGACAAUCAGAGGUGCGGCUGGACAACAAAACCAAACACAAAAGGCGAUUUCAAAGAAAUGAGUUUCCAAUGUUGAUUUAAAAUAACGCCAGUGACUUGUCUGCCAGCGGCGGCAUUAGUUAUAGUUAAUUUAUAUUUAGAAGCAGACACGAAAGGCACAAACGGUGAAACGGAUAAACAGCAAGGCAUCGCUGUGUUACGCGUGCUCCUGUGAAGCCCUCCGGUGCGUUUUCGGGUUGCGCCAUGCCGUCGUUCGGCGCGGUGUCCGACGUUUCGCUGCGCUUUCUCUGCCGUGUGAAGUUGCCGAGGGGCUCCCGGCGCGUGCAGCAGUUGCGGCGAGCUGUGGAUCCACCGUUGCGAUCUCCUCUUAAAAUCCAAUCGCACAUCACUGGACGCGAGAAGAAAUCCUCAUCGGGGCCCUGCUCAACCAAUCACAUCCUAAUUGGCAAAUCUGUUGCUAAGCUCAGCUAAAUCGUUGUCCCCAUUGUCAAGCCCAAGAAACCUAAAAAGGCGUCCAUCGAAUUGCCGUUUAAAUAUCCCGAGAAACAAGAAUCGUUAAAGGUGACGCAGCCUUUGCCAUCGCAGCGUCAUCGUUUCAGAGCAGCAACCUUGCUUUCCUCCCUGAGAAGUGUCAAUCUUCCUUCAAAGAAGUAGAGUGAAGCAGAAGAUCAGCGCUAGAUACAGUCGCAUUUGCAAACGCGAUUUGGAUCUUUGCUCAUAAUCCGUGUGUCGAUAGUUCAAUGUUAAUAUGCCACUCUAUCGAGCGACUGACGCGUGGCGUUAUCAUGGCGUGUUGUGGGACUGUGCUGCUGUUGUUGCUGCCUCCUUGAUAAAGAGGACUUAUAGAAUUAAUGUAUGCAUCACUUAUUUAUGUGUGUUUUAGUGACUUGCUUACCAUUUUCUCAACUUUACACUCCAGUCGUUUUUUUUCUACUUGUUUGUUGUUGUUGUAACUCACUGACCCGCCCCAUACCGGGCACCCGCGGGGAAUAGAAAUAUUCAUAGCUCCAUCGGAUUCCUCCUCGAGACUAAAUAAAGAUUCUGAUUCUGGAUCCUGCACAGAGCUCAGGAACACAGCUGUGUGCAGGUUCCAUCACCGUUCAG
This is a long non-coding RNA of Petromyzon marinus (sea lamprey), 1876 nucleotides long. RefSeq lists it as uncharacterized. Lineage: Eukaryota; Metazoa; Chordata; Hyperoartia; Petromyzontiformes; Petromyzontidae. The record is from RefSeq and is a predicted model, not a curated record.